Molecule: long non-coding RNA, 873 nt
Filed under: Gallus gallus (chicken)
Lineage: Eukaryota; Metazoa; Chordata; Aves; Galliformes; Phasianidae
Source: RNAcentral
CAAGGUUCCAGAAGACCAAGAGGUUGCACUGUCUUCCUUAUGCUUUUCCUUGUAUUUUAAUGAGGGCCAGAAGCUCACAUCUAUCUCUGUAGUUGUAUUUCCCUUGCUGUGGAAAGAGUCUUCUGACUCUUCAUCUAAACAGGGCAGAAGGGAUAUCAGUCCUCUCUUCUUCAGCUGCACAUCAGAAACCUCAGUCCCAAUUGAGUCAGUUUGUGCAAAUACAGAGGCUGUGGGCUCAUCUCCUGGUUCAGGUGCUUCUUCCUGUAAGCGCUGGUGAAGCUCAGACAUUGAAUUCUUCAUCCCGGUAAGGAUAUCUUCCUUUCUUUGGCACAGCUUGAUGAUUUCUUCUUUUAUAGCUUCCAUCUCUCCCUCUGGACAAGAAGUCUUCUGAGUCUGUGGCUGAUAUUCAUGUGAUUUUUCAGCCAAGUGAUUCUUUAGGAAUUGUUUCAGCUUUUCAAUUUCUUGCUCACAUUCUUCUGUUUCCUUCACAGCUUCCUCCAGCAGUUCAUUUUGUUCCUUAGUAAUUUUUUCUAUUUUUUUCAAUUCUCUCAAAAGUUGUCUUGCUCUUAGGAAGACUGAGACAGGUUGUUUUUUCGCCCCCGGUAGCUGAAGGACUUCUUCAUAGGACUGUAUGUGAACAAUGGUCUUCUGCAUAGGACCAAUAUGGUCAAGUAUAACCUGUCCAUGUUUAAGUUGGUCCUUAGGAGAAAGUUCCAACAGAUCUUCUGAUGAUAAGAUUGUCUUCAUUUUCAUAACAUCCUUCUCAAACAUUUUUACAUGAGAUUCAAUGGCAUCCAGUUCAUCAGUCACAUGCUGGAUCUGUGGAAGAAUGUCUGCUAUCUCUUGCUGUAACAUUGCUACUUCCUCCUCUGC